Molecule: ribosomal RNA, 200 nt
Filed under: uncultured bacterium
Lineage: Bacteria
Description: partial 16S ribosomal RNA
Rfam family: Bacterial small subunit ribosomal RNA
Source: RNAcentral
AAUCAACGCUGGCGGCGUGCCUAACACAUGCAAGUCGAACGAGAAAGGGGAGCAAUCCCUGAGUACAGUGGCGACCGGGUGAGUAACACGUGACUACCUACCCUCGAGUGGGGAAUAACUCCGGGAAACCGGAGCUAAUACCGCAUAACAUCGCAAGAUCAAAGCAGCAAUGCGCUUGAGGAGGGGGUCGCGGCUGAUUA